AGCCGUCUGGGGUGUGCGUAAGCAAAUAUAGGUGUCUAACCGACUUCUUUACAAAAGGGUACCCGAUUUGAGCUUGCGGCUGUUGGAUCGUCUCGAACGAAGAACAAAAACAAGACUUAGGGAACCCACCUGCACAUGCAGGUUUAGGCAUAUAAUUGUGUACGGCAUUUUGGACUCCAU
This 180-nucleotide non-coding RNA is filed under the name Schwartzia sp. (in: firmicutes). RNAcentral's name for it is "6S RNA". It matches the Rfam family "6S / SsrS RNA". From Rfam's summary of the family: E. coli 6S RNA was the first non coding RNA to be sequenced, but its function was unknown until recently. It consists of 184 nucleotides that fold into an extended hairpin structure with a large single-stranded internal bulge. The 6S RNA specifically associates with RNA polymerase holoenzyme containing the sigma70 specificity factor. Lineage: Bacteria; Bacillati; Bacillota; Negativicutes; Selenomonadales; Selenomonadaceae. The record is from RNAcentral.